This is a long non-coding RNA of Eriocheir sinensis (Chinese mitten crab), 3096 nucleotides long. RefSeq lists it as uncharacterized. The record is from RefSeq and is a predicted model, not a curated record. NCBI's taxonomy places the organism in Eukaryota, Metazoa, Arthropoda, Malacostraca, Decapoda, Varunidae. The transcript has 2 exons.
AGACACUUCACCGCGGUCCGUUCCUUCCGUCCGUUCAUCCGUUCUUCUUUCCUUCCUUCCCGUUCAUACGUCCUUCAUCCCUUCCUGCGGUCCGUGCCUUCCUUCUGUCGCCCCUUCCUUCCUUCACUCCUUUCUGGUUCCUGUUAUUUCCUUUUAAUCCCUUUCGGCAAUCCGUUUUUAUUUCCUGUUGUCACUCUGUUAUUUCUUUUCCCAUUAAUUUCCUUCCUUCAUAUACUACGUCAUUCUUUUCUUCCUGCUUUUUCGUUUAUUUUGUUCUUUUGUUCCGUCAUUCCUUUCUGCUUUCCAUUAUCUCCUUUCAAUUCCUUUCGGCAAUCCGUUAUUAUUUCCUGUUGUCACUCUGUUAUUUCUUUUCCCAUUAAUUUCCCUCCUUCAUGCACUACAUCAUUCUUUUCUUCCUGCUUUUCCGUUUAUUUUGCUCUUCUGUUUUCACUAUAAUUUUCUUCCUUCCUUUCGUCAUUCAUUAAUUCCUGGUUUCCUUAAGUCCUUCCGUCAUGUAUUCUCCAUCGGGGUCGUCUCUUCCCUCGUCCUCGUCUGCACACUGGUAAUCCUUCCUCAGGUUGUGGUUGAUUGAACGGUGCUGGUGGUGUAAGGGUGGUUCUGGUUAACUCUUCACACCGAAUUGUAGGCGGGAAUGAGAGGUGGUGGAGGAGGAGGAGAAGGAGGAGGAGGAGAAGAUGGUUUAGGUUAGGAGACGAGAGGAGAAGACGCCCUAUACUUCAUUCUGGGGUAGCUGUUGGUGGGAUGAGUAGGUGAAGGAGGAGAAGAAGGAGGAGGCUGAGGAAGGAGGGGGAAGGUGUUGUUUGUAGAUAUAAUAUACUGUAUGAUGUCCAAUGUUCCUGCCUCUCUCUCCGCUCUGUUUGAGUCUUCGUGGGAAAGAUACAGAGUGGAUGGGAGCGGUUUUCUUCACUUCCUCACUCUUCUUUCCUUUAUAUAAUUUCCUCCCUUCCUUCGUUGUUCCUUUUUCUUCUCUUCUUGUAUCUCCUUUUCUUCCUUCCUGUAUUUCCUCUUCCCUUCCUCUCUCAUUUUUCCUUUAUAUAACUCCUUCCUUCCUUCCUUGUUCCUUUUUCCUCUCUUCUUGUAUUCCCUUUUCUUCCUUCUCGUAAAUAGUCUUUCCUUCCUCUUUAUGUAUUUCCCUCCUUUGUUUCUUGUUCCUUUUCCUUCUCUUUCUAUAUCUUCGUCUUCCUUCCCUUUCCUCUAUCUUCCUGUCUUCAUUCUCAUUUUCUUGUUCCUCUUUCUUUCCUUCUCCUGUAUCUUCCUUUCUUCUUUCCUUUUCAUUCUUCUCCUUUCCUGUAUCUCUUUCUUGUCUCCUCCUUCCUCAUUCCCUUUCUUUCUUUCUCUAUCUCCUUCUCUUUCUUCCUUCUUCACUUUCCUUCCUCCUCCUCCUCUCUCUUUCCUCCUGCGUAGUUUCUUCCCGUCCUCAUUUUCAAGAUGUAUGGUAAUUACGUCUAAUUUCUCUCCCCUUAUAUUUUCAGGUUAGACUCUCCCUUCUUCCUCCUUUCCUUUUUUCUUCCUUCCUUUCUUCUUUCUCUUUCUCUCCGCCUUUGUUGUUGCUUCUUGUCCUCAUUCACACGAAGACAAACGUUUUCAUUUUUCCUCUUUCUUUAAAUGUUCGCUCGGCUUUCCUUCCUUCCUUCCUUCCUUGCUUUCGUCUUUUCUUUCUUUCUUUUUCUUUCUUUCUUCUGCGCCUUCGUUUCGUGGUUGCUCCUCGUCCUCAUUCUCAUAGACAUUUUUUCUUGAUUAUUUUAUUCUUUUGCUUUCACUCUUCUUUCUAAUUUCCUUUCCUUCCUUCCUUUCGUCUUUCUUUUUCUAUCUUCUCUGCACCUUCGUUUCGUGGUUGCUCCUCGUCCUCAUUCUCAUAGACAUUUUUUAUCUUUUUUAUCUUUUGCUUUCAUUCUUCUUUCUAAUUUCCUGCUUCCAUCCUUCCUCAUUGUCUGGGUCUCUUACUGGUGUCCGGUUCUCGUGUCUUUUUCUUAUGGUAGUCUUUCUCUUUUCACUAAGUCUGGAUCUCUUACUGGUGUCUGGUUAUCUGGUUUCUUUUUCUUAUACUAUUCCUUCUGUUUUCACUAAGUCUGGUUCUCUGCUUUCUUUUUCUUAUGGUAAUUAAUCUUUCUCUUUUUACUGUCUGAGUCUCUUACAGGUGUUUGGUUUCCUCUCUGGUCUCCUCCUCCCGCUCCUUACUUAGUCUCUGUCUUGCUUUCUCUGCUGGGAAUGAGGACUUUUAUUUUUCCUCCUCCCGCUUCUCGUCUUUACCUUCUCGUUCUUACAUUUUUCCUUCUCUCUCUCACUAACUCGCUCGUGGGAUGUGGAGGCGGUGGAGGAGGAGGGUUGCGCGGAGAGAGAGAGAGAGAGAGAGAGAGAGAGAGAGAGAGAGAGAGAGAGAGAGAGAGAGAGAGACUAAUAGGUAGAUAAUUACUCAGAGACAUGUAACCCAGAUGGACCAGAGCUUGCGUGUGUGUGUGUGUGAGAGAGAGAGAGAGAGAGAGAGAGAGAGAGAGAGAGAGAGAGAGAGAGAGAGAGAGAGAGAGAGAGAGAGAGAGAGAGAGAGAGAGAGAGAGACCCAGCAAUUUCUCUGUGGUCAUUACACCUGUCGGAGCCUACAGCCCCAAUUUUCCACACACACACACACACACACACACACACACACACACACACACACACACACACACACACACGCACACCAUUCACCCUGACCACUUAAUUCUUUUCUUCUUCCCAUUCUCUCCCUCUUUAUCUCCCCUUCUUUUUUUUUUUACCUCCAGUUAUUCCUCAUUUUCCUUCCUUUGAAUUGCUUACCAGAGAGAGAGAGAGAGAGAGAGAGAGAGAGAGAGAGAGAGAGAGAGAGAGAGAGAGAGGAUUCAUAGGUCCAUUAUAUAACCAAGGAGUAUUAUCGUCAGCAAGGUGUUAGAUAAUGAACACCUGUAAUAUCCCUUCCCCAGGUGUGAUAAUAUGUGCAGGUUAUCAGAUAAGAAAGAUCCUGUGAUGCCGUAAUGGGGACUUAACUUAAAGGUAAAAAAACAAAAAAAACAAAAAACGCAGAAUAUUAUAAGAGAAUGAGAAAAAAAGGUAAAAAAUAAA